UACGUAGGUGGCAAGCGUUGUCCGGAUUUAUUGGGCGUAAAGCGCACGUAGGCGGAUCUUUAAGUCAGGGGUGAAAUCCCAAGGCUCAACCUUGGAACUGCCUUUGAUACUGGGGGAUCUCGAGUCCGGAAGAGGUUGGUGGAACUGCGAGUGUAGAGGUGAAAUUCGUAGAUAUUCGGAAGAACACCAGUGGCGAAGGCGGCUCACUGGACUGGUAUUGACGCUGAGGUGCGAAAGCGUGGGGAGCAAACAGG
Molecule: ribosomal RNA, 254 nt
Filed under: uncultured bacterium
Lineage: Bacteria
Description: partial 16S ribosomal RNA
Rfam family: Bacterial small subunit ribosomal RNA
Source: RNAcentral